GUCAUAUGCUUGUCUCAAAGAUUAAGCCAUGCAUGUCUCAGUACAAGCCGCAUUAAGGUGAAACCGCGAAAGGCUCAUUAAAUCAGUUAUGGUUCCAUAGAUCGUACCCACAUUUACUUGGAUAACUGUGGUAAUUCUAGAGCUAAUACAUGCAAACAGAGUUCCGACCGGAGACGGGAGGAAUGCUUUUAUUAGAUCAAAACCAAUCGGCGGCGGGUGCGUUCGCGCGCCCGUUCGCCGCUCAACCUGGUGACUCUGAAUAACUUUCGGCUGAUCGCACGGUCCAGCACCGGCGACGCAUCUUUCAAAUGUCUGCCUUAUCAACUGUCGAUGGUAGGUUCUGCGCCUACCAUGGUCGUAACGGGUAACGGGGAAUCAGGGUUCGAUUCCGGAGAGGGAGCCUGAGAAACGGCUACCACAUCCAAGGAAGGCAGCAGGCGCGCAAAUUACCCACUCCCGGCACGGGGAGGUAGUGACGAAAAAUAACGAUACGGGACUCAUCCGAGGCCCCGUAAUCGGAAUGAGUACACUUUAAAUCCUUUAACGAGGAUCAAUUGGAGGGCAAGUCUGGUGCCAGCAGCCGCGGUAAUUCCAGCUCCAAUAGCGUAUAUU
RNAcentral lists this ribosomal RNA (612 nucleotides) under Copelatus sp. MB7020. RNAcentral describes it as "SSU rRNA". It matches the Rfam family "Eukaryotic small subunit ribosomal RNA", at positions 23 to 605 of the family's 1831-position model. The record is from RNAcentral. Lineage: Eukaryota; Metazoa; Arthropoda; Insecta; Coleoptera; Dytiscidae.